UAAUACAUAAGUAACCUGCCCUAGACAGGGGGAUAACUAUUGGAAACGAUAGCUAAGACCGCAUAGGUACGGACACUGCAUGGUGACCGUAUUAAAAGUGCCUCAAAGCACUGGUAGAGGAUGGACUUAUGGCGCAUUAGCUGGUUGGCGGGGUAACGGCCCGCCAAGGCGACGAUGCGUAGCCGACCUGAGAGGGUGACCGGCCACACUGGGACUGAGACACGGCCCAG
This 230-nucleotide ribosomal RNA is filed under the name uncultured bacterium. Its description in RNAcentral is "partial 16S ribosomal RNA". It matches the Rfam family "Bacterial small subunit ribosomal RNA", at positions 111 to 334 of the family's 1533-position model. The record is from RNAcentral.